CUUGAACGCUGGCGGCAGGCCUAACACAUGCAAGUCGAACGAGUGGCGGACGGGUGAGUAAUGUCUGGGAAACUGCCUGAUGGAGGGGGAUAACUACUGGAAACGGUAGCUAAUACCGCAUACCAUCGGAUGUGCCCAGAUGGGCUUGGCUAGUAGGUGGGGUAACGGCUCACCUAGGCGACGAUCCCUAGCUGGUCUGAGAGGCUGACAAGCCAAAAUGGAACUGAGACACGGGCCAGACUCCUACGAGAGGCAGCAGUGGGGAAUAUUGAACAAUGGGCGCAAGCCUGAUGCAGCCAUGCCGCGUGUAUGAAGAAGGCAUUCGGGUUGUAAAGUACGGUCAGCGGGGAGGCGUUACCCGCAGAAGAAGCACCGGCUAACUCCGUGCCAGCCGCCGCGGUAAUUC
RNAcentral lists this ribosomal RNA (406 nucleotides) under uncultured bacterium. Its description in RNAcentral is "partial 16S ribosomal RNA". It matches the Rfam family "Bacterial small subunit ribosomal RNA", at positions 30 to 526 of the family's 1533-position model. The record is from RNAcentral.